GUUAAGUGACGAAGCGUAUACGGUGGAUGCCUUGGCAGUUAGAGGCGAUGAAGGACGUGUAAGUCUGCGAAAAGCUGUGGUGAGCCGACAAAAUGCAUUUGAGCCACAGAUGUCCGAAUGGGGAAACCCACCUGUUUACAGGUAUCGUUAACUGAAUACAUAGGUUAACGAGGCAAACGAGGGGAACUGAAACAUCUAAGUACCCCGAGGAAAAGAAAUCAACCGAGAUUCCGAAAGUAGCGGCGAGCGAAAUUGGACUAGCCCUUAAGCUUUACACGCGUUAGACGAACGGUCUGGAAAGGCCGACGAUACAGGGUGAUAGUCCCGUAGUUGACGACGUGUGUUCAGUGAAAUCGAGUAGGGCGGGACACGUGAUAUCCUGUCUGAAUAUGGGGGGACCAUCCUCCAAGGCUAAAUACUACUGACUGACCGAUAGUGAACCAGUACCGUGAGGGAAAGGCGAAAAGAACCCCUGUGAGGGGAGUGAAAUAGAACCUGAAACCGUAUGCGUACAAGCAGUCGGAGCGGACUUGUUCCGUGACGG
RNAcentral lists this ribosomal RNA (544 nucleotides) under Paramoeba aestuarina. RNAcentral's name for it is "partial Bacterial large subunit ribosomal RNA". It matches the Rfam family "Bacterial large subunit ribosomal RNA", at positions 1 to 599 of the family's 2925-position model. Lineage: Eukaryota; Discosea; Flabellinia; Dactylopodida; Paramoebidae. The record is from RNAcentral.